UUUUUUUUUUUUGGCGGGAAAUAGAUUUACAAGGAAUUUUAAAAGAGUUUUAAAAGAUUUACAAGGGAUUUUAAAGGGAUUUUAUAAGAUUUACAAGGGAUUUUAAAAGGGUGAUUUACAAGGGAUUUUAAAAGGUUUUUAAAAGAUUUACAAGGAAUUUUAAAAGGGUUUUAAAAGAUUUACAAGAGAUUUAAAAGAUUUACAAAGGUCUUUUAAAGAUUUUUAAAGGGUUUAAAAUUGUUUUAAAAGGAUUUUAAAAUAUUUACAAGUGAUUUUAAAAGGGUUUUACAAUAUUUACAAGGGAUUUUAAAGGCUUUAAAAGAUUUACAAAAGAUUUGUAA
RNAcentral lists this small RNA (341 nucleotides) under Arabidopsis thaliana (thale cress). Its description in RNAcentral is "ATSL066280". The record is from RNAcentral. Lineage: Eukaryota; Viridiplantae; Streptophyta; Magnoliopsida; Brassicales; Brassicaceae.